RNAcentral lists this ribosomal RNA (429 nucleotides) under Acidobacteriota bacterium. RNAcentral describes it as "Acidobacteria bacterium partial 16S ribosomal RNA". It matches the Rfam family "Bacterial small subunit ribosomal RNA", at positions 355 to 776 of the family's 1533-position model. The record is from RNAcentral. Lineage: Bacteria; Pseudomonadati; Acidobacteriota.
UGGGGAAUUUUGGACAAUGGGGGAAACCCUGAUCCAGCCAUCCCGCGUGUGCGAUGAAGGCCUUCGGGUUGUAAAGCACUUUUGGCAGGAAAGAAACGUCAUGGGUUAAUACCCCGUGAAACUGACGGUACCUGCAGAAUAAGCACCGGCUAACUACGUGCCAGCAGCCGCGGUAAUACGUAGGGUGCAAGCGUUAAUCGGAAUUACUGGGCGUAAAGCGUGCGCAGGCGGUUCGGAAAGAAAGAUGUGAAACCCCAGAGCUCAACUUUGGAACUGCAUUUUUAACUACCGGGCUAGAGUGUGUCAGAGGGAGGUGGAAUUCCGCGUGUAGCAGUGAAAUGCGUAGAUAUGCGGAGGAACACCGAUGGCGAAGGCAGCCUCCUGGGAUAACACUGACGCUCAUGCACGAAAGCGUGGGGAGCAAACAGG